RNAcentral lists this transfer RNA (69 nucleotides) under Tridacna noae. RNAcentral's name for it is "tRNA-Val". The record is from RNAcentral. Lineage: Eukaryota; Metazoa; Mollusca; Bivalvia; Cardiida; Cardiidae.
GUUUGAGUAGCUUAGUGGUUAAGGGUUCGCUUUAACGUAGCAGAAGCAGGUUGCACCUUCUCUCAAAGA